AGGACGAACGCUGGCGGCGUGCUUAACACAUGCAAGUCGAACGGUAAGGCCCCUUCGGGGGUACACGAGUGGCGAACGGGUGAGUAACACGUGGGUAAUCUGCCCUGCACUUCGGGAUAAGCCUGGGAAACUGGGUCUAAUACCGGAUAUGAACUCCUGCCGCAGUGGGUGGGGGUUGGUAAAGUUUUUCGGUGCAGGAUGAGCCCGGCGGCCUAUCAGUCUUUGGUUGGUGGGGUAAUCGGCCUACCGAGGCGAACGGACGGGUACGCCGGCCUGAGGAGGGUGAGCCGGACACGACGUAGG
This 303-nucleotide ribosomal RNA is filed under the name uncultured soil bacterium. Its description in RNAcentral is "bacterial SSU rRNA". It matches the Rfam family "Bacterial small subunit ribosomal RNA", at positions 26 to 319 of the family's 1533-position model. The record is from RNAcentral.